AGAAUCUCCCCGCAACCUUAACGAGUUUUACUCCGAAAGAAGUGGUCCAGUGCCAUCCUGUGCUGUUCAGUGAUACAGCAUAUGUUUUUAUAGUUAAAGACUUCGGUGUAGCUAAAGAAAGAGUGAUAGCCCGUGAUUGCUUUUGUCAGCCCUUGUACCUCUUUCUGACAGCUAGACUUCCUUUGGGACAACCUCCAAAGAAAAAUGCAUUUCAGUACUGUUUGUGAUGUGUUAUGUCUUAAGCUAGAUGUACUGACUUUUAUUAAUUAGAGCUAUAUUUUCGUGUUGUAAAUAACUUUUGUGGCUUUUAGGCUGUAAAUUAAGAAAGAAAAGACCUUUGAUUAUAUUGAAAGUUUUACAAACAUCAAAGGCUAUUUUCCUUAUAGAUUUUCUAUUUCUGGUACUGCAAAUUUCUUUAGGCCAGUCUUAAAUUUACCUUAAUAAUUCGAGUAAUUUACUAUAACAUUUAAAACAACUAUAAUAACAAAAUAUUACUAGCUUUUUACUGUGGUAGAAUAGUGAUACAAUUUUGUAUAUUUGGUUAAACUUAGACAAACUUAAAAUCCAUUUCAAAGAUUGUUAUGUUGAGUGUACCAGGUCAGUGAGAGACUAAUGAUAUUCUCCACAGACGUGAAAAAACACUCCUAUCUAUAUGAAGAAUAUUAUUUAUUAUUUUAUGCUUUUAUCCCACUACUGUCUUUCCCUGGUGCUUUUGAGUACCAUCAAGUAAGCUAACGUUUCUUCAUUACUUUAGAUUAUGAUAGUCUUACCCAAACUGUUGUUCAGGGGGAUGAUCUAGAAACCUGCCUGGUCCACUGACUCUUUCAGUUGAGGGAGACACCUGGUAUUGUUACCAUUUUCUUGUCAUAUCUGUAUGUUUAGCAGUUUGGGGGAUACAUACAAAAUACACUUUUUUCCAAGUAUUCAGGUUUUAACUUUUCGAAGGAGGAAAUCAGUUUUAGUCUUAAGGUUUGAGGUUGGAAAUAGAGUGUAUCUGGAAAAUAGUUACUAGUGUCCUCUGGUUGGUCUUUUCUUCCUUUCUUUCUCUCUUUCAAGUUGUGCUUGCCUAUAUCAUUCUGUGUCUGUCCCAAACAAAGGCCUUGCUUUGCAUUUAUUAAAUAGCACAGAAAAUGUUUGGGAAAGAACUAAACCAUGUUAUCAAACUAUAUCCAUAUUUAGCAUUCAAUAUUUAUAGUAAAUAUGUUUUAUUUGGGGUUGCUUUCAACCUGUUGGUUGCUUUCAGCAAUGAUGAUCAGAAUAUUCACAAAUUAUUCUGGGUCAGGACCAUGGACAAAUACAUAAUAUGAUUAAAAUUAUGCAUUCAGCUUAUGUUGGAAUAGCUAAUUCCAACAUACGUGGGAAAUCCACAGCAUUAUAAGGUUGGCUACAUUUUUUUGGUAUUUUUGUUGUUUUUAAAGAUUCAUUUAUUGUUAUAUGUGAGUACACUGUAGCUGUCUUCAGACACACUAGAAGAAGUCAUCGGAUCUCGUUGAGGAUGGUUGUGAGCCACCAUGUUGCUGGGAUUUGAACUCAGGACCUUUGGAAGAGCAGUCAGUGCUCUUACCCGCUGAGCCAUCUCACCAGCCCGGUUGACUACAUUGUUAUCAUAAAGGAGGAUUAAACUUAAACAGGCUGAGCACACAGAAGGAUAGUGGCUAAGUACAUAGUAUUAAAUGUUCUUGAGCAUGUUAGUAGCUUGGCUGAAAGAACUAGCAAAAGUUCAGUCUCUUCAAAGAUGGAAUAUUGUCGUAAAACUCCACAGUUUUCAUCUUAGUCUCUUGAUUUGCAGUAGUUUAUAUUAGCAUCGAUGAGGAUACAUGCUUAAUAAGAAACACGCAACCCAACUAAGUAUGUACAGCCUGGCUGUAAACAUUAGGUUAAGGCGAGAGCCAAGUGUUUUUGGAAAGUAUUGAGGAACUGGGAGACUUUCUGUAAGUUUAUAUCUGUCAGUUGCAAACAUACCAAGACUUUAGAAGAGCAUCCAGAUUAAGGAGGAUUCUGUAGUGAUCAUCUUAGCCAUCUCUCCACACAACCAACCUCCAGUGUUUGUAGAGACUAUGCUAAUGUUCUCUCAAGCCGGGAGUUCUCAUUUUACUAAUUGAGUACAUUCUCUUCUUGCCAUAACUCCUCUUGAAAGGAUUAGUAAUUUGUAUGCUUAAAUGAGACACAGUUUCAACUAAGGUGGUACAUAAAUAAACCUAGAGCCAAAUGUUAUCUCAGUGAAGUACAGAGACAUGUGGAGUUUAAUGCCUUUUGUAUCAUUUCUACAUUUGUCUUGAUGGUAAUUUUGCUUUGUGCAGAGAAUUCUUGUAAUCAAAAUUAAUAAAAAUUAGUUUGUUUGCUUUGAUACCAUAAGGGUAAAUUGGUUCAACUUCAAUAAAAGGAAUCUAUUUA
This is a long non-coding RNA of Mus musculus (house mouse), 2394 nucleotides long. RefSeq annotates it as predicted gene, 46901. NCBI's taxonomy places the organism in Eukaryota, Metazoa, Chordata, Mammalia, Rodentia, Muridae. The record is from RefSeq and is marked validated. The transcript has a single exon.